GAUAAAAGGUCCUUUUGAGUUUCGGAGCCCCGAUGUAGAGGAAACAUCACUACUCUGAAGUAUGAGUCAAACUAGUCAAAAAUAAGUCGGACUGGACUAUAUUUUUUCAGGAGCGCUGUCAGCAUUGCUGCAGAGAUUGAAGAGGUGGGGGGGGUCAGCCUGUUAGUGUUCAGACCAUACGCCGCACUCUACAUCAAAUUGGUGUGCAUGGCUGUCACCCCAGGAGGAAGCCUCUUCUGAAGACGAUUUCCUCUAGAGCAGUGAUGUUUUGGGGACGUCGUUGGGCAACACGGACUUUCAACUCCCUCCUCACCCGGUGGCGUCAAAAUGAUUACAAGAACGGUGAACAAAAAUCCCAGAACCACAAGGGGGGACCUAGUCAAUGACCUACGGAGAGCUGGGACCACAGUAACAAAGGCUACAAUCAGUAACACAAUGCGCCGCCUGGGGCUCAAAUCCUGCACUGCCAGACGUGUCCCCCUGAUGAAGAAAGUACAUGUCCAGGACAUAACACAUUCUCCCAGUCCUCUUCAGGAUCAUCCAAAUGCAUUCUAGCAAACCGCAGACGGGCCUGGACCCUGAAUAUAGCAUGUUUUGUUUUUUAAUUGUUAAAAUACCCUGAAACAAUAUAAAUUGUUCAUUGUUACCACCACAUCUUCUGCUUCCUUAAUUUUUGCCAGACCUGUGUUUUAUUUGUUACCAAGGGGCUUGCCUUGCCCA
Corythoichthys intestinalis (scribbled pipefish) is the source of this 720-nucleotide long non-coding RNA. RefSeq lists it as uncharacterized. The transcript is spliced from 3 exons. The record is from RefSeq and is a predicted model, not a curated record. NCBI's taxonomy places the organism in Eukaryota, Metazoa, Chordata, Actinopteri, Syngnathiformes, Syngnathidae.